AACUCAAAAUCUGCAUAUAAAAGAAUAAAAAUAGAUCUACAUCUAUCGCCGUGCACAAAUCUCAACUCCCAAUGGACAAAGGAUGUCAACACAAGACCAGACACCUAGAAUAUGAUAGAAGAAAAAAUAGGCUUGGGACGAGUUAAUGAUCAAAGAAAACAUUCAGGGCCUCAGUUCUUUGAUCUUGUGACAGGUUUCAGGGUGCACCAUGAAAGGGAAGGUCAUGAACGAAGAGUAGGUACUUUUAUUGUAAAUGAAAGAACGUUCAUCUUCAUGCUGAUCUUCAAAAAACAUAGUGGGCUGUCUUAACCCCGGAAAUAGUCACGCUAGAUUAUACGCAGUGGGGGAAUCUUCCCAUGCCCAUUCAUACCAUGCCAGGUAUAUGAGAAGACAAAUAUGAGAAGGCACAUCAGUAGCAAGAAGCAAUACUGGGAUGAAGCCGCUGAGGUCGCGCUUCUCCGUCUCAGCUCCAUCGCAGCUGAGCAAAAGGGUGGGCCUUCUCUAGGAAGCUCACUCGCGUACUGCAGCUCUCCAGCCUAGCGUCCAACACGAAAGGACUUGGUUUGACCUUUUCCAAAUGCAACAGAGGUUCGGGUAGAUUAUUUUUCACAGGGUCUCAGAGUUGGGAGGUGACAGGCCAGAAUUAGGAAGCAGAAAUUGAGAAUCAAAUAAUGAGCUCUUCCUCUGCCCCAACUUCCCUGUCUCUGCCUGGUCUGCACAGUAACUCACCGUUAACACUCCAAAUACUGGACCUCCCAACCUCUACAGCCUUGAAUUUAGACUGGGCUCCUGGUAAUAGUUUCCUGCCCCAGAGCUGGGCUCAAUCCCUCUGGAACUCUGCCCGGGUGUUUCUAACCAAGUUGGCUUUUAGGCCAAGGCUGUAGAGGAAACUUCUGCAGAGAAAGAGCAACUCAGUAUGUUCUUGCCAUUUUAGCUUCUGGAGGAAAGUGAGCAAAUUGGUGGUUCAGCUCUAGACCCAGAGGUAGCAGGCCCCUUCCCCCCACUAGUGGGUUCUAGCACUUCAGAAGUAAAGAGUCUUACCUGUUGUGUUUCCGUAGAAGCCUGCAAAUGAGCCGUGGGUCCAGAGGCUGCUGUUUUCUUGCAUAAGUUGGAAGAAUCCUCACCUUGAGGACCCAAGUGACCACGUAAAUGUGCAGAUUCUGUCUCUGAACCUGAAUCAGGAAUCCGCUACCCCCUCCCUCCGCACUGCUCCUUCUCCCCUCCCCCUAACCCCAACAUUCAUUCAUUUAAUCUCACUCUCACCCGCACUCACCUGUAGCCUGAAGGUCGCUUUCCUUGAUCCAGGGCCACCAAUUAGGUUAAAAGGCUCCCACUUCAAGAUGUGCCAGCCGCCUUGAAAAAGGGGUAUGUGGAGCGCAUUCCCUGUUAGAAUCGCCGUCAGGUGGCGGAGCUAAUCGUUGGAUUUUGUGUACUUUCUUCUGUGACUGGCAGGGGGACCCAAAAUAGAGAUGUUCCCGCUCGGUUUCGAACCGAGGACCUCUCGCGUGUGAGGCGAGCGUGAUAACCACUACACUACGGAAACACAACGGUCUUUACUUCACAGAGAAGGAAAUUCAUCUAGUCAGAAGUGUCCUGAAACAGAUUUCCACUAACAGAAGGCUUGAGGAUAACACCUGAGGUCAGUUCACAUUUCAAGAGAAUCAAAAUUGUUCCCUCUUGCUAAACUGAAUGCAGGUGAGACUGAGAACUGGAUGAGGAUGGUGUAGAGGACUGUGCAUGGUGCAGGGGAGGCUGGGAAUUUGGUGGACUGUGCAUGGUGCAGGGGAGGCUGGGAAUUUGGUGGACUGUGGAUAGGGCAGGGGAGGCUGGGAAUUUGGUGGACUGUGCAUGGUGCAGGGGAGGCUGGGAAUUUGGUGGACUGUGCAUGGUGCAGGGGAGGCUGGGAAUUUGGUGGACUGUGCAUAGGGCAGGGGAGGCUGGGAAGGGGUGGUCAGGAGCAGAGGGAUGGGAGGAUUGACGUAAUGUCUCUUUCCACAUUUGAUAAAUACGUCUGUCUUGAUGAAGGAGGAACACCAUCUCAGUCAGCCUCUGAGGCCUGCAUGCAGCAUUAAUACAGAGGUUCCUGUAUGGACAGAACAGUGUUCUGAAAUGCAGUAUAGUCCCUGAGAGGAAGGUCACAGGGCAAGCUAUAUUUUAUCACGAUUCAUCCCUGAGCAGUUGGUGACAUCUGGACUUUUCCACUGAAGUUUCACAAUGGCCAAAGUCUCAAGCUUAAAAGGAGUUGCAAGAUUAGAAGAUGUGGC
RNAcentral lists this transfer RNA (2264 nucleotides) under Rattus norvegicus (Norway rat). RNAcentral's name for it is "uncharacterized LOC108353148". Lineage: Eukaryota; Metazoa; Chordata; Mammalia; Rodentia; Muridae. The record is from RNAcentral.